Molecule: ribosomal RNA, 265 nt
Filed under: uncultured bacterium
Lineage: Bacteria
Description: partial 16S ribosomal RNA
Rfam family: Bacterial small subunit ribosomal RNA
Source: RNAcentral
GCAAGUCGAGCGAGAAGCUAUCUAAUGAACCUUCGGGUGAUUUAGAUAGUGGAAAGCGGCGGACGGGUGAGUAACGCGUGGGUAACCUGCCCUAUGCAGGGGGAUAACACAUUGAAAAGUGUGCUAAUACCGCAUAAGACUACAGAGUCACAUGACUCAGUAGUAAAAACUCCGGUAGCAUAGGAUGGACCCGCGUCUGAUUAGCUAGUAGGUAAGGUAACGGCUUACCUAGGCAACGAUCAGUAGGGGGUCUGAGAGGAUGAUC